GAGGCGUGAUGACGAGGCACUACGGUGCUGAAGCAACAAAUGCCCUGCUUCCAGGAAAAGCCUCUAAGCAUCAGGUAACAUCAAAUCGUACCCCAAACCGACACAGGUGGUCAGGUAGAGAAUACCAAGGCGCUUGAGAGAACUCGGGUGAAGGAACUAGGCAAAAUGGUGCCGUAACUUCGGGAGAAGGCACGCUGACACGUAGGUGAAGUGAUUUACUCAUGGAGCUGAAGUCAGUCGAAGAUACCAGCUGGCUGCAACUGUUUAUUAAAAACACAGCACUGUGCAAACACGAAAGUGGACGUAUACGGUGUGACGCCUGCCCGGUGCCGGAAGGUUAAUUGAUGGGGUCAGCGCAAGCGAAGCUCCUGAUCGAAGCCCCGGUAAACGGCGGCCGUAACUAUAACGGUCCUAAGGUAGCGAAAUUCCUUGUCGGGUAAGUUCCGACCUGCACGAAUGGCGUAAUGAUGGCCAGGCUGUCUCCACCCGAGACUCAGUGAAAUUGAACUCGCUGUGAAGAUGCAGUGUACCCGCGGCAAGACGGAAAGACCCCGUGAACCUUUACUAUAGCUUGACACUGAACAUUGAGCCUUGAUGUGUAGGAUAGGUGGGAGGCUUUGAAGUGUGGACGCCAGUCUGCAUGGAGCCGACCUUGAAAUACCACCCUUUAAUGUUUGAUGUUCUAACGUGGACCCGUUACCCGGGUUGCGGACAGUGUCUGGUGGGUAGUUUGACUGGGGCGGUCUCCUCCUAAAGAGUAACGGAGGAGCACGAAGGUUGGCUAAUCCUGGUCGGACAUCAGGAGGUUAGUGCAAUGGCAUAAGCCAGCUUGACUGCGAGCGUGACGGCGCGAGCAGGUGCGAAAGCAGGUCAUAGUGAUCCGGUGGUUCUGAAUGGAAGGGCCAUCGCUCAACGGAUAAAAGGUACUCCGGGGAUAACAGGCUGAUACCGCCCAAGAGUUCAUAUCGACGGCGGUGUUUGGCACCUCGAUGUCGGCUCAUCACAUCCUGGGGCUGAAGUAGGUCCCAAGGGUAUGGCUGUUCGCCAUUUAAAGUGGUACGCGAGCUGGGUUUAGAACGUCGUGAGACAGUUCGGUCCCUAUCUGCCGUGGGCGCUGGAGAACUGAGGGGGGCUGCUCCUAGUACGAGAGGACCGGAGUGGACGCAUCACUGGUGUUCGGGUUGUCAUGCCAAUGGCACUGCCCGGUAGCUAAAUGCGGAAGAGAUAAGUGCUGAAAGCAUCUAAGCACGAAACUUGCCCCGAGAUGAGUUCUCCCUGAGACUUAGAGUCUCCUGAAGGAACGUUGAAGACGACGACGUUGAUAGGCCGGGUGUGUAAGCGCAGCGAUGCGUUGAGCUAACCGGUACUAAUGAACCGUGAGGCUUAACCUUACAACGCCGAAG
RNAcentral lists this ribosomal RNA (1403 nucleotides) under Salmonella enterica subsp. enterica serovar Enteritidis. Its description in RNAcentral is "partial 23S ribosomal RNA". It matches the Rfam family "Bacterial large subunit ribosomal RNA", at positions 1558 to 2925 of the family's 2925-position model. The record is from RNAcentral. Lineage: Bacteria; Pseudomonadati; Pseudomonadota; Gammaproteobacteria; Enterobacterales; Enterobacteriaceae.